Rhinolophus ferrumequinum (greater horseshoe bat) is the source of this 1815-nucleotide long non-coding RNA. The record is from Ensembl. NCBI's taxonomy places the organism in Eukaryota, Metazoa, Chordata, Mammalia, Chiroptera, Rhinolophidae.
GGCGGGACCGCGCGCGCCGCUCCGCCCACUCCUCCCGCCCGAGCCCUCCUCCCAGCAGCUGGGGGCGGGGCGAGACCCGCCCGCCCCUGUCGUGCAAGGCCCCUUUCGGCUGUCAGUCUGGCAGCGGCGCGCGCCGAUUGGGCCGCUGGCCACCGGGGAGCGGGGGCAGCAAACUAGGAUGAGCACUACUUAAGGUCUAGCUGCGUGAGCCAUUGACGUGUUUGGAGCUGGAGACGGCCCGAGCGCUGGUGAAGCGGUAACCCGAGGUGAGUGGUCCCGCGCCCCUCCCUCCGCGGUGGCUGCAGUGAAGGGGAAAGAGAAGGCCGCACCUAGGUCGCAUCGGGGCCGAAUCCACUUCCGCGCGAAGCCGCUUCUACCAGGGUUCGCCGCAUCGCGGGUCCCUUUCCGUCGCUUUCCCUCUCGGCGAUACAGGUUGGUCUCUUUUAGCCUGGACAACCUGAUGUUUACCACAACAAAAGAAACUGAACUACCUGACUCUUGACUGAGAAUACCUCCACUUUUCAGGAGCUUGUAAGGUUUGAUUAUUUUUCUUGAAUGUACUUCAUUUCUUUUAACACAACUUAUGGUUUUUGAUGGUCCCGUCUUGGGCAAGGAAAGGAGAAACCAUUUCAUACAAAAAUUCUGACCUCUGUGUGGUUUUACAGACGUAGUUUUUAUUCUGUGGCGUUUUGUAGGUCAUAGUACAUUAUUUGCUGGCUUCUCCUUCAAUCUUUAGGUGGAAGAUGAUUAAGCUAGACCAGGAUUUGGGAAUAUAAGUUAAAUCAGCUCCUUAAACUUAGUGCAGAGCAUUUAAAAAUAUUUGUGGCUGGCUUAUCCAUGGUAUACCAAUAUAUUGAAACCAAAAAAGAAAAAAAUCACUGAAAUAUUUAAGUUAGUUAAUUAUUGGUUUUUAAAUGUUUUUUAGUUUCUUUCUAUAACAUUUCUUUGAAGAUAAUAGGCAUACCAGUUUCAGUUGAACUCCAUUAUAGAGAGCAAUUGUCCUGGGAUAUAGUUGACAUACCUUUUAUAUGAAUAUAUGACUCGACAUGGAAUCACAAAAUGGCUUUUAGGAGACUGUGAUCAUCUUUAAUUGAUAAAGAUUUCUGCAGGCUGUAUCUGUAAGCUUGAGUUGAAAGAUUAAUGAAUCACACACAGUAGCAUUCCCUGAUUCCUUCAACCCAGGGAAGUAUCAAAUAGAUAGAAGAUGCCACUGGAAGUAAAGUUUCAACUCUUUUUUUUUUUAAAACUUUCCGAAAUGUCAACUAAGCGGUAACUUUCUGUUUUGGUAUGUUGGCCACGCCAGUGCUCUUUAGUUAACAAAUGUUUUUGCUAAAGAUGAGUUGAACUACAUUAUUCAACACUGUUUUGUAUAAUCAAUAUGUAAUAAGGAAAUAAUCGUUAGAGUGCAUGCUUAGGUUUUGUUAGUAUAUUUAAUUGUUUAAUCUUGAGAAAUAAGAAGAAAACUGAAUUAUAGCUGAACUAUCUAUCUUUCUUUUUGUACAUUAUAAUCAAAUUUCAGUAGAUGUGUUUAAAUAUGGCCUUUGUGCUGAGAAAUAUGAAAACUGAAUUAUAGCUGAACUAUCUUUCUUUCUGGACAUUAUAAUCAAAUUUCGGUAGAUGUAUUUAAAUAUGGCCUUUGUGCUGAGGCACCAGGGCAAUCAGUGCAAAGGAAAAACACAUCAAAGUCUUUAUUCUAUACAGAGGAUACACAAAAUUCCUCACUACAUAAUCAUUAUGCCCAAAUUAAUUUUCAAGUGAUUAUGGGGCUAAUGAGAUUUACUGAUUCAUUUUCUGUCAUCCACUGUAUAACUCUUU